CUCGGCCAUUCAUGAAGCGCACCCAACGGGCCACUGCCCGAUUUACGAGUUUCCUGGUUUUUUCAAUGGCCAUACAGCUCAGCGCAGCACGCCAAAAAAUUCUCUUCAGGAAGGAGGACCAGAACACCGUUGUUCUGGGGCACAAGGCAGCAAACGCAUCCAAGUCUCUUUUUAUAUUCCACAACAAGUCCGCACUCCUUCUGUAAGCAAGGUCAUUUUCCCUAAUUGAAUGACAAGGAUGCCGGGAGGGCCGAACGUGGCGACUUUUUCCCACAGCAAUGGCAUAAGCUCUUCCCAGCGCCUGCCUCUUCUCGAGAACCAGGAAACUCGAACACCGUGUGGCAGACCAAGAUUAGGCGCAAGGCCGCAG
Molecule: non-coding RNA, 370 nt
Organism: Podarcis lilfordi (Lilford's wall lizard)
Lineage: Eukaryota; Metazoa; Chordata; Lepidosauria; Squamata; Lacertidae
Source: the annotation of a GenBank genome assembly